GGAGCUGUAGCCACCGGCCUGCGCCAGAGCCACAGCAACGCGGGAUCCGAGCCGCGUCUGCAACCUACACCACAGCUCACUGCAACGCCGGAUCGUUAACCCACUGAGCAAGGGCAGGGUCCAAACCCGCAACCUCAUGGUUCCUAGUCGGAUUCGUUAACCACCGCGCCACGACGGGAACUCCUUUUUUUUUUUUUUUAAGAAGAGGGAAUUUUCAAAGAGGUUGAGGAUGCGGGAACAAUUGCUGAGGAUAGGCUAGGAGUUCAGAUGCCAGAACGAGAGCAUUUGAAGAGGAUGGGGAAGGGUGGAAGAUAAAGUCAGAAUAAUGACAUUACAGAAGAAUUGGGGAUUGGCAUCCAUGCAAGGGACCUGUGAGACUUGGACUUAUGAUGACAUUGGUGGGUAACAGCAUUGUGAGCCAUGCUGCAUUUGGUCCAGAACAGGUGGCAACUGAAGAUUCUGAAUGGCUGCCUUAGGCUGUAGUCAGAAGCACAGGGCAACUGGAAUUGUAGAGGUAAAAGCUUUGAGUUAUUAAUCUAAUCUACUUCUUAAUCCAAAUUUAGUAUUUUUCUCUUCCAUUUAGUUGGGUCUCUUCUACCAUAAUAUUUUUUAAAGCUGCUAUUUGAUGAAAACUUGCUCCUCCUACGUGUUUUCCUUUCCCUAAAAGAAUGCUUCUUGGAGAAUGUAAAUUUUGAAUAAUGUCUGGAAGAGACUUUGCUUUGAUGGAAAGUAGAAUAUAGUGUAUUUUGGUCUGGUGGUCAUAGUUGCAAUGAAUAAAGAAAUUUCAAGUUAUUUCAAUUUAUUAUGAAGCUGCCCUUGGGAAAAUAAAUGGAUUCUCAUGGAAACUUGGGAAGAGAAGCCAUACUAAGGUCUUACAAAACCUAGAACUUGAUAAGGAGAGUUAGUUUCUCAGGAUCUCUUGAAAACUUAGAAUUUACAGUUAACAGAUUUAUCCUUAAAGACUUUGCAGUUAUGACUUGGCCAUGCUGUAAGGAGUUUUGGUUCUAGUGUUUCUCAAUUUUCCAAUUGUGAAUUUUUUACUUCCUAUUAUAAUCAACAGAGAGAAUCUGAUUAGCUCUCAUGUCAGACCUAGUGAUGUGAUUAAGUAUCCCAUGGAAAAAUUACUUCUAAUCAGGGACCAGUUCUGCUUCAAUUAGCCAAGGUUGGGAAUGAGGGGGAUGUGAUUAUGUGGCUUCUUGGGCAGCAGAGGUUGUGGGUGGGCAAAAUCCCCUAGAGUGACACAAGAGCACAGGGACAAUGGUUACCAUCACUAACUACUAAGUUAUUUCAGACCAGAAAAAACAUGGACAAGUGCCUGAAAUUUAUAUUUUUGGAUUAAAGAGCCAUCAUCAGCAUUCUGGAUUCAUGUACAUUUCAUCUUCUUUUUUUAAUAUAUAUAUUUUAAUUAAAGUACAGUUGAUUUACAAUAUUAUGCCAAUUUCUACUAUAUAGCAAACUGACUCUAUCACAUAUAUCUAUCUAUAUAGAUAUAUAUUCUUUUUUAUAUUAUCUUCCAUCGCAGUGUCUGUUCCAGGAGAUUGGAUAUAGUUCCUCAUGCUAUGCAGUAGGAUCUCACUACUUAUCCAUUCAAAUAGAAUAGUUUUCAUCUACUAACCCCAAACUCCUGGUCCAUCCCACGACCUCCACCUCCCCUUUGGCAACCAUGAGUCUGUUUUCCAUGUCUGUGAGUCUGUUUCUAUUUUGUAGAUAGGUUCAUCUGUGCCAUAUUUUAGAUUCACAUAUAAGUAUUAUCAAAUGGUAUUUGUCUUUCUCUGACUUACUUUACUUAGUAUGGUAAUCUGUAGUUGCAUCCAUGUUGUUGCAAAUGGCAUCAUUUUGUUCAUUUUUAUGAUUGAGGAGUACUCCAUACUAUGUAUGUAGUAUAUCUUCUUAAUCCAUUUCUCUGAUAAUGGAUGUUUAGAUUGUUUCCAUGUCUUAGCUAUUGUGAAUAGUGCCGCAAUGAACAUAGGGGUUCAUGUAUCUUUUUGAACGAAAGCUUUGUCCAGAUAUGUUCCCAGGAGUGGGAUUGAUGGAAUAUACGGUAGUUUUAUUUUUAGUUUUCUGAGGACCCUCUAUAUUGUUUUCCAGAGUGGUUAUACCAAUUUGCAUUCCCACCAAGAGUGUAGGAAGGUUCCCUUUUCUCCACACCCUCUCCAGCAUUUUUUUAUCUGUAGACUUAUUAAUGAUGGCCAUUCUGACUGGUUUGAAGUGAUACUUCAUUGUAGUUUUGAUUUGCAUUUCUCUAAUAAUUAACAACGCUGAGUAUCUCUUCAUGUGCCUAUUGGCCCUCUGUAUGUUUUAUUUGGAGAAAUGCUAUUUCAUCUUCUAAUUGUAAUUUUUAUUAUUGCAUAAUGCUACAUCUAAUUUGAGCUCAUAUUCUAGAACUCUUUUUAGAAACCUGUAUAUGAACUAUGGGAAGGGAAAUGAUUUAAUAAGGAAGUCCUCAGAGUAUUGUGUUAUCGCUUUUUCUGGAACCUGCUAAGCAUUUGGUGUGGGGAUAUACUGGAAAAAAAUUUGAUAGGAAAUUUACAACUUACUACUAAAAUAUGCUUCUGUUCCUAAAAUUAUACCAAGUGAAUGGAACAGACUGUCCUUUACUAACGUAACAAAAUAACCCUUAUUAUAGCUAUGUCUCUGACAGGAUAAGGAUGAGACGAUUUGAGAAGGGGAAGGCUGCAAGACACUCAUCUUUGACUUUUAGCCUUGUUUUCUUUCCCCAUAGAAAAAAAUUAAACAUAUUUUUGUGAAUAGCCCGUCACUUCCCACUUGUAUAAACUUUUAGCCCAAUGUUAUAGAAAUCAGAAAGUUUCCAUAGACUUUGUGAGUAAAAUUAAAACUGUUAACAAAUUUCAACUCGAGCUUUUCAUUGCUAAAAUCUUUCCAAACAGCUACCCAUGAUCUUUAAUCUUUUCAAUAGGUCAUCAGAUUCACCUGAUUUCUUCCUCUUUGGUAAGUGUUACCUUAUAUUCUAGCCCCUUGCACUUCCCUUCUGCCCUCCAAAAUUGAGCUCAUAUGAGAUACAGUCACCUAAGUUCUCUUGGUUACUUGUCUUCGAGGAUAACCAGGAAAGCGUCUCUAAUAACAAAAAGUCCCCAUGAUAAUUACAAAAUUGCAAACAUAGGAAUCACAAAACUUUCACAUUUCUUAUAAAGGCAAUUCCUAACCUGCAUCUAAAUUAGUACCUGAAACUCCCAUGGCUUUCUACUCUUAGUUUUUUUCAUCCUUGCAAUAGGAUUUACCAAAACUCUCAUCUCUUCUCACAUUCCAUCCUUCUCUGCUGACAAAAAAAGACAGACGGAAUGCUAAGUAUUAUCUUGGCUCAGGAUUUUCAAACACCACUAAAUUAAUGGACAACCACUAAGCUAGAUAUUGGCCUUGCUCAAGAAUAAUCUCCUUUGACACAUUUUCUCCUAAGGCUCAUGGUGAUUGUUUCCUAUUGAUUAAGGACAAAAGGACUAAUCCCAUAGAAAUGUCCCCUGAUGGACUCCCACGUUAGCCUAUGCCAUGAAUCCAGCUCUUUUCCUUUCCUAUGACUGAGACCUCAUUUUAUAUGUCUCCACUGGGAUUUCAUUCUAAGUCAGUCUAAUGUUAUUCCUCUUCAGGUUUGGGGUUAGCUGGAAAAGUCACACCCCACCUUCGUUCCCAAUUCCAUUUAUCUCUAUCGUACAUAGUAGAAAGAGAAAUCUUAAAAGCUUGUAAAGGAUAAAAAUAUAGCAACAAAUCAUUUUCUCUCUUCCCUAUCUGAACAUUAGCUCCGGCCACAAGCAUGGCUUCAGGACUCCAAACUUCAAGUUUGCAUCCCUAAGACCACAUUUACUGUGCUUUCUGUAGAGUAUCUGAGUGAGAGGUGGGGUAGAGGAUGGGAAUACAGACCUUCUUUUUUCUUUCUUGGGGAGUAAUUUGUUCCAAAAGGGUUUCAUAAGUCAGAUCAAGGACAGAUUAAAGAGAAAUAGAUCACUGCAAUCUCUAGGGGCUAUACAACUGACUUUAUCAGCUGUAGCUUUCAAGGAAAUUAAUGAAAUAUUGAUUCUAUCUAAAAACAAAGUAAGAAACUUUAUCUUACUAUUUACAACAUAAAUGGGAUCAUUUUUCACAAAUUGACCUUUAUACCAGCCAUUUUUUUCCAGCCACUUUUUCAUUAGAAAAUAUAUCAACAGAAGGCAGUGUGUGUGUGUGUGUGUGUGUGUGUGUGUGUGUGUGAGAGAGAGAGAGAGAGAGAGAGAGGGAGAGAGAGAGGGAGAGAGAGAGAGAAUAUGAAUGACUAGUGGAGAUUCAUAUGAUAAAUAUGAAACUAUAAAUCUACUUUCAAGACAGCAGGCUUGAAACCCUUGAACACUGCUUGGAGUUUCUUGUUGUCCACAUAAAUCAGAUGGCAUUUCUAAGACAGUGUACCUACUAUUUGACUACAUCUUACACAGAGUAGAGAUGGGUUUGAAGUUUAUAGGAAAUGGGUUUCUUUUCCACUUGUAACACAGACAACUUUAGUUCUGAUAAGAAAGCAACUGAAUUUGAUUUCAUCUGAUAGUUUGAAGAUAACAUUAAAGAAUGGAAAAACUAGAUCACAGGAAUAUUACAUCAGUGACUAGCAGAAUGUUUAAAUUGAAAAUAAUCUGUGGCAAAAGAUGUUGAUGCUAUUUCUAUUUCUACUACUUCAAUAUCUAGAGAAGUUAUUCAGUACAAACACAGUGCCAAUGAAUGAAAGAGGAAAAAUAUGUACCCUAAAGGUGCAAAUACAUUACUGUGUUUUUAUUACAUUUUCCUCAUAUUACCAAAAAAAGGUAAAAUUCAGCCUCAAACACACCAUUACACAAUUAUAUGAAAGGUGAAAAAUUUCUCUAAGUGUUCCCUCCAAUAACAUUUCCAACAUAACCACUUUUAGGACUUUAGCAAGACUCCUCCCUGAUUUUCCUAUGCUUUUUCUAACUCUCUCUUACAUUUUUACUUUAUAUGGUCCCAUAGUGUUUCAAUACUUUUAAGUAGUUAUUUUUAAUUAAAAAGGAUAUAAAAUGUAUAGAGUAUCUCUCAGUAUCUAUGCAAAUAAUUAUAGGGCAAACAAAAAGUCAUUGAUUGAUAACUUUUAUCUGAGAGCUUUUAGAAGGUCAUACUUGUGCAGCAGCCUAACUACUCUUUGGUCUACACAUUUUAAUACUUCUAGCUGGGACAUGAAAAGUUGAAAGUCGGUAAAAAACAGAGCUACCCACUUAAUUUCUUGGGAAGGGAGUACAUGAUAAAGGUAUUUGGAAUUUAGGUUGGGUGUACGAGGGUGUAUACUCUACUGCCUGGAAAGAGUUGAGAGCUUAUCUAUCCAAAUUUACUAAUUUGCAAAGAGGUUGACUUCUUGAGUGGGGGAAGAGACUGGAAACUAUGUUAAUGUACUAAAUGGUGUACAGACAUAUCUGAUCAACAUGAGUAGCUUCACCAGUGCAGAUAACAGAAAAGGGCAACAGGGACCUGAAUGGAAGGAAGAGUCUAGAAUUGUGAGUUUAGCAAAAAGUCCUGUUGGUAUAAGGAUAUAACUGAUUUUGAAACGUAUUCCAGUUGGGAACUUUGGGGAUAUUUGUAUGACGGGACUGAUAACUAAAUGUGUGAAUACAGAAAAAGCUAUAACCUUUGGGGACUCAUGCACCGUUGCUGUAGAGUAUUCCCUGACUAAGUAAAAGAUAUGGACCUAAUAAAUAGGUGGAAAAAAACAUUCAUCUCACCUCAUAUAAUGCUGAUGCCCAGGUAAACCAGGAGGCAUUCUCAAAGACAGAGGCAGCAGUGGUGAUGGUGACACUCAAGGUCAUAGGGACUGGUGACUGCAGGAAACUGCCCCUCUCAGUGGGUGCCUGGGGCCAUAAGAACCUGCCAGGCCACCUUCUCAUGUGGCAAGUGGAGAAAGUUCCAUCAUUAACUACCAGGAGAGUUUAAGGCAUGUAUGCCCUUGCUAAGGACCUUUCCCCAAAUGAAGCAUCAUGCAGGAAGUGUGGUAUACAGUAAUGGAGCUAGGAGUAGGGUUUCAGCUCCAAGGUGGCACCUUGGCCAAGUCUGCUAGGCUGGGGAAGAGUACCAGUAGCAGAAGGAGGCAAAGGGACAGAACCGAUAAGACAAAGCUUGUAAACACCCUUGAGAGUCCUGGAAGACAAUUAAAGUGGUGCUCCUCAUAAGUAGGUAAGCAGGGAUUUGGAACUCAAAGAUUUGAUUACAAAUGAAUAGUAAUAUUAAUAUUCCCACAUUGUAUUUGCUUUGUCAUGAGCGGUUGAGGAGAUGGUUCCCAUUUCACCCAGGGUGAGUCUUUUUUUUUUAUCUUUUUGUCUUUUCUAGGGCUGCUUUCAUGGCAUAUGGAGGUUCCCAGGCUCGGGUCGAAUCGGAGCUGUAGCCACCAGCCUACGCCAGAGCCACAGCAACACAGGAUCCAAGCCACGUCUGCAACCUACACCACAGCUCACAGCAACGCUGGAUCCUUAACCCACUGAGCAAGGCCAGGAAUCGAACCCCAAACCCCAUAGUUCCUAGUCGGAUUCGUUAACCACUGCACGAAGAUGGAAACUCC
This 6532-nucleotide long non-coding RNA is filed under the name Sus scrofa (pig). Its description in RNAcentral is "lncRNA (ENSSSCG00055008032.1)". The record is from RNAcentral. Lineage: Eukaryota; Metazoa; Chordata; Mammalia; Artiodactyla; Suidae.